Erinaceus europaeus (western European hedgehog) is the source of this 114-nucleotide non-coding RNA. The record is from Rfam. NCBI's taxonomy places the organism in Eukaryota, Metazoa, Chordata, Mammalia, Eulipotyphla, Erinaceidae.
GCCUGUGGCCAUACCACGCUGAAUAUGUCUAAUAUCGUCCAAUCUCAGAAGCUAAGCAGAGUUGGGCCUGGUUAGUACUUGGAUGGGAGAGAGUGGGAGAGGGAGAGGGGGGAA